AGAGUUUGAUCAUGGCUCAGAACGAACGCUGGCGGCAGGCUUAACACAUGCAAGUCGAGCGCCCCGCAAGGGGAGCGGCAGACGGGUGAGUAACGCGUGGGAAUCUACCCAUCUCUACGGAAUAACUCAGGGAAACUUGUGCUAAUACCGUAUACGCCCUUCGGGGGAAAGAUUUAUCGGAGAUGGAUGAGCCCGCGUUGGAUUAGCUAGUUGGUGGGGUAAAGGCCUACCAAGGCGACGAUCCAUAGCUGGUCUGAGAGGAUGAUCAGCCACAUUGGGACUGAGACACGGCCCAAACUCCUACGGGAGGCAGCAGUGGGGAAUAUUGGACAAUGGGCGCAAGCCUGAUCCAGCCAUGCCGCGUGUGUGAUGAAGGCCUUAGGGUUGUAAAGCACUUUCACCGGAGAAGAUAAUGACGGUAUCCGGAGAAGAAGCCCCGGCUAACUUCGUGCCAGCAGCCGCGGU
This 465-nucleotide ribosomal RNA is filed under the name uncultured bacterium. Its description in RNAcentral is "bacterial SSU rRNA". It matches the Rfam family "Bacterial small subunit ribosomal RNA", at positions 8 to 521 of the family's 1533-position model. The record is from RNAcentral.